Anas platyrhynchos (mallard) is the source of this 1749-nucleotide non-coding RNA. Lineage: Eukaryota; Metazoa; Chordata; Aves; Anseriformes; Anatidae. The record is from RefSeq and is a predicted model, not a curated record.
GGGCUUGUAGUCGCCGCCGGGCCGCCCCCUCGGCGCCCCCCGGGCCGCGCUCCCCCCCCGGGGCAGCCCCCGGGGCGGACACCUCCGUGCCGCCGGCGCUGCAAUCGCGGCGGGGCAGCGGCCGGGGCGGCCGGGGCGGUCGCAGCGCUGCGUUUGGACCAAAAUCCGGGCGUCCACCUCCAGCAGCAGCCGUGCAGAGCCCCCGGCGUGGGUUCCCCCCGGGAUGACAGAGGGAACACCUUCGCUGCUGAUAAAUAAAAGAGAAAUAUGCUUCCUGCUCGGCCGCGCUGAUUGCAGCAUCCAUCAGAAUUACUGCGCUGCUGGCAGGCUGUGCGGAGCGCGGCGCUGACAGAUCCCCGCGUGGAGACGGAUGGGACGGACGGGCACUUCAUUCAGGAAAGAUGGGAGAAGUGAAGGAUGUGUUAAAUGGCAAUAACCCCUCCAUGAAGUAUUUCACCGUGUCAGACAGCAGUAAAUGAUGGCGGCUGUAUCCAGCCUUGAUUAUUUCGUGUCUGUUUGCAACCUUCCAUUAAAAAAUGUACCCGCUCUCUAAUUUAGCAACCCUACCCAUAUAUUACCUGCGUGGUCGAUGUGCUACACAAAUGCCUCGGAUAAUGAAAUUAUAAGCAGGAGGAAAUCACAUUUUAAUAGAAAUCCUAUCGGGCAACAUGCCACGCCAAAAUCGCAUUAACAGGGCAAAUUUUGUAGGGUGAGUUAAUUUCUCGUAUUAAACCAGCUGGCUGGAAAAAAACCAGCCGCACCUUCCGGGGCACCUGCCUUUCCUCAGGCUGCACAGCGGCCGUGGCGAUGGUGGGAGCGAAGUGGGAUGCUCGCUGAGGGAUGGUGUGAGCACCCGGCCCCGUGCCCUGCCCCACUGCCCCACAAGGUGCGGGGCAAAAUUCCACUUUCGAGGGUUUUUUUGCUUUGUUGCCACCUCCGUCAUUUUCGUGGAAAGUUGUGUUGCGAUACAUGCAUUCUUCUGAAGCCAAUCUGGGUCUUUUUUCCAAUUUUCCAUAGAAAAAUCGGGCUGUUUUUCAAAGAGAACAAAGCCAAUUUCCAAGCAAAUAUGGGUUAGGCUUUGGUCUGUUUUCCAAUCAAAGGGUUUCUUUGCCUCACAAACAUGCCAAAAGGUUGCUUUCUCGAGUUUCUCUGUGUGAAAAUCACGGUUUCACUGGAAUUGGAGGAAGCAGGGAGUGAAAUCCUCACUGGGGGCUCACGGGGCUGGUCCCCCCCUGCCCAGUGCCACAGGCACGGAGAGCCCAGCUCAGCCCCUGGGUGAAAGCCGAGGGCACUGCUGGCUCCAUCGUGCUGCACGGGGUGCAUCAGCCGCUGGCUGGUGGGGAUCAGGAUGAAUUCGUGUGAAUUCUGUAAUUCCAGGAUCCCUCAGCUUGCUGGAAGCACCCAGCCUGGCCGCAGGGGUGUGGGGUCACAGCGGCCUCAUCGUGCUCCUGGGGUACCUCCACGAGGCAUCACCAGCCCCGGUGCCCCGCGGGGCUUUGCACCCAGAUGGAGCCACGCACGGCGGUGGCCCCGGGACGCCGAGCACCCACUGUCCACGGGGGAAACCCAAAGUUUUGUCGGGCUGCAGGGAGCAGUUGACAGCAGAAGUUGUUGUCUGACAGGAAAAGCAAAGCUCGGCCGCGUUUCAAUGUGCUAUUAAUAACGGGCUGCUGCAGAAAGCGCUUGGCAAGUGGCAGCAGCUCUGAAUUACGAUGAAAACUACUGAUAAUAACAACCACCUGACUACAA